This 492-nucleotide ribosomal RNA is filed under the name uncultured bacterium. RNAcentral's name for it is "partial 16S ribosomal RNA". It matches the Rfam family "Bacterial small subunit ribosomal RNA", at positions 29 to 507 of the family's 1533-position model. The record is from RNAcentral.
AGUGAACGCUGGCGGUAGGCCUAACACAUGCAAGUCGAACGGCAGCACAGUAAGAGCUUGCUCUUACGGGUGGCGAGUGGCGGACGGGUGAGGCAUACAUCGGAAUCUACUUUUUCGUGGGGGAUAACGUAGGGAAACUUACGCUAAUACCGCAUACGACCUACGGGUGAAAGCAGGGGAUCUUCGGACUUUGCGUGAUCGAAUGAGCGGAUGUCGGAUUAGCUAGUUGGCGGGGUAAAGGCCCACCAAGGCGACGAUCUGUAGCUGGUCUGAGAGGAGGAUCAGCCACACUGGAACUGAGACACGGUCCAGACUCCUACGGGAGGCAGCAGUGGGGAAUAUUGGACAAUGGGCGGAAGCCUGAUCCAGCCAUACCGCGUGGGUGAAGAAGGCCUUCGGGUUGUAAAGCCCUUUUGUUGGGAAAGAAAAGCAGCCGGAUAAUACCCCGCUGUUCUGACGGUACCCAAUGAAUAAGCACCGGCUAACUUCGUG